RNAcentral lists this ribosomal RNA (690 nucleotides) under Triticum aestivum (bread wheat). RNAcentral describes it as "partial small subunit ribosomal RNA". Lineage: Eukaryota; Viridiplantae; Streptophyta; Magnoliopsida; Poales; Poaceae. The record is from RNAcentral.
UCAUUCGGACCAGAUGAGGUACGGGAAUGGACAGACCUGAGGGAAGUAGUCCCUCUUCCUUUGUCCCAGGACCCUAACACUGUUUCUUGGAGCCUUUCUCCUUUGGGUGAAUUCUCUGUUAGUUCGGCCUAUCAGACAUUAUGUCGUGUGCCGGUUCUACAGUGGCUAUCCCCACUGUGGAAGGCACCGAUCCCCUUGAAGAUUAAGAUCAUCGUAUGGUAGCUUCUACGAGAUCGUCUCCCUUCGGGGACCGAGGUGCUGAAACGCCAUGGUCCGGCCAAUGGCCUUCGCCCUUUGUGCCAUGUCCCCGAAAUGGGAACGCACAUUUUGUUUUCUUGCGUAGUAGCGCAAGCACUUUGGUGCUUUGUUCGUGAGGCUCUAGGACCAGAGUGGAAGGCCCGUGACCUUGCAGAGUUUCUGUAGGUAAGGGCCACCCAGGUUGGCCGUAAGUGCCGACUGUUCUGGUUCAUCUUCGCGGCUAUGAUGUGGACUCUUUGGACUACUCGCAACAAGAUGGUGAUUGAGCGGGUGUUCCCGUGUCGUGCUUCUGACUCUUUCUUCAAAUUUCUUGCCUUCUUGCAGUACUGGCAUCCGCUCGCUAGGCCGAGGGAUCGUGACCGUCUUCAUCUCUUGCUGGACGCCCUGGUGUCUACCGUGCGUCGGCUCUCCGACCUCCCGCCUGCUUCGUAG